CGGUCAUGUUUCCGGUCACCUUGCCCUGAUUAAAAGCAGUGGUUUGCGUGUUCAGUUUUGCGCGAAUGCUGCCAUCAAUCCACGGUUUCUGGUUGGGGAAUGUUGUAAUAGACGCUGUGGGUACGACAUCGCUGAUGCACUUGCUAAUAAACUCGCUCACUGAAUCAGCGUAUUCGUCAAUGUUUUUUGUCCGACACUAUGCGGAACAUAUCCCAGUCCACGUGAUCGAAGCAAUCUUGACGCGUGGAAUCCGAUUGGUCGGACCAGCGUUGAACAGACCUGAGCGCGGGUGCUUCCUGUUUUAGUUUCUGUCUAUAGGCUGGGAGCAACAAAAUGGAGUCGUGGUCAGCUUUUCCGAAAGGAGGGCGGGAGAGAGCCUUAUAUGCAUCGUGGAAGUUAGAAUAACAGUGGUCUAGGGUUUUGCCCGCCCUGGUAGCACAACCGAUAUGCUGAUAGAAUUUGGGAUCCUUGUUUUCAGAUUAGCCUUGUUAAAAUCCCCUGCUACAAUAAAUGCAGCCUCAGGAUAUGUGGUUUCCAGUUUACAUAGAGUCAAAUGAAGUUCUUUCAGGGCCGUCGAUGUGUCUGCUUGGGGGGGAUGUACAUGACUGUGAUUAUGAUCGAAGAUAAUUCUCUUGGUAGAUAAUGCGGUCGGCAUUUGAUAGUGAGGAAUUCUAAGUCAGGUGAACAAAAGGACUUGAGUUCCUGUAUGUUGUUAUGAUCACACCACGUCUCGUUAAUCAUAAGGCAUACACCUCCGCCCUUCUUCUUACCAGAGAGAUGCUUGUUUCUGUCGGCGCGAUGCGUGAAGAAACCAGGUGGCUGUACCGACUCAGAUGGCGUGUCUCGAGUGAGCCAUGUUUCCGUGAAACAAAGAACGUUACAGUCUCGGAUGUCUCUCUGGAAGGCAACUCUUGCUCGGAUUUCGUCUACCUUGUUGUCAAGAGACUGGACAUUGGCGAGUAGUAUGCUCGGGAGCGGUGGGCGAUGCGCCCGUCCACGGAGCCUGACCAGAAGACCGCUCCGUCUGCCCCUUCUACGACGUCGUUGUUUUGGGUCGCCGGCUGGGAUCCGAUCCAUUGUCCUGGGAAGUGGUCCAAACAGAGGAUCCGCUUCGGGAAAGACGUAUUCCUGGUCCUAAUGUUGAUUCGUCGUGAAGUCCUAAAUUCUUUAGGGUUUCUGUGGCUAAGUCAAAGAAGGAGUGACAGGGAAAGGUAUGCAGUUUUUUAAAUUGAUUUUAUUUCAUUGAUUGAAAUUAGCAGUGUUGAGAAUUUAGCAGAUGAUGAAAACAGCUUUGCGACAAACAUGAGCAUUGCCAAAAAGCAGAGCAGUUCUCAAAUCAAAUCAAAUUUAUUUUUAUAUAGCCCUUCGUACAUCAGCUGAUAUUCUCAAAGUGCUGUACAGAAACCCAGCCUAAAACCCCAAACAGCAAGCAAAGCAUGUGAAAGAAGCACGGUGGCUAGGAAAAACUCCCUAGGAAAAAAACCUAGAGAAGAAACCUAGAAAGGCCAAAAACCUAGGAAGAAACCUAGAGAGGAACCAGGCUAUGAGGGGUGGCCAGUCCUCUUCUGUCUGUGCAGGGUGGAUAUUAUAACAGAACAUGGUCAAGAUGUUAAAAUGUUAAAAUGUUCAUAAAUGACCAGCAUGGUCAAAUAAUAAUAAUCAUAGUAGUUGUCGAGGGUGCAACAAGCACGUCCGGUGAACAGGUCAGGGUUCCAUAGCCGCAGGCAGAACAGUUGAAACUGGAGCAGCAGCACGGCCAGGUGGACUGGGGACAGCAAGGAGUCAUCAUACCAGGUAGUCCUGAGGCAUGGUCCUAGGGCUCAGGUCCUCCGAGAGAAAGACAGAAAGAGAGAAAGGGAGAAUUAGAGAGAGCAUAUUUAAAUACACACAGGACACCGGAUAAGACAAGAGAAAUACUCCAGAUGUAACAGACUGACCCUAGCCCCCCGACACAUAAACUACUGCAGCAUAAAUACUGGAGGCUGAGACAGGAGGGAUCAGAAGACACUGUGGCCCCAUCCGAUGAUACCCCGGACAGGGCCAAACAGGCAGGAUAUAACCCCACCCACUUUGCCAAAGCACAGCCCCCACACCACUAGAGGGAUGUCUCCAACCAC
RNAcentral lists this long non-coding RNA (2117 nucleotides) under Salmo salar (Atlantic salmon). RNAcentral describes it as "lncRNA (ENSSSAG00000093502.1)". The record is from RNAcentral. Lineage: Eukaryota; Metazoa; Chordata; Actinopteri; Salmoniformes; Salmonidae.